RNAcentral lists this ribosomal RNA (497 nucleotides) under uncultured bacterium. RNAcentral describes it as "partial 16S ribosomal RNA". It matches the Rfam family "Bacterial small subunit ribosomal RNA", at positions 28 to 507 of the family's 1533-position model. The record is from RNAcentral.
GAUGAACGCUGGCGGCGUGGCUAAUACAUGCAAGUCGAGCGAACAGACGGGGAGCUUGCUCCUCUGACGUUAGCGGCGGACGGGUGAGUAACACGUGGAUAACCUACCUAUAAGACUGGGAUAACUUCGGGAAACCGGAGCUAAUACCGGAUAAUAUAUUGAACCGCAUGGUUCAAUAGUGAAAGACGGUUUUGCUGUCACUUAUAGAUGGAUCCGCGCCGCAUUAGCUAGUUGGUAAGGUAACGGCUUACCAAGGCAACGAUGCGUAGCCGACCUGAGAGGGUGAUCGGCCACACUGGAACUGAGACACGGUCCAGACUCCUACGGGAGGCAGCAGUAGGGAAUCUUCCGCAAUGGGCGAAAGCCUGACGGAGCAACGCCGCGUGAGUGAUGAAGGUCUUCGGAUCGUAAAACUCUGUUAUUAGGGAAGAACAAAUGUGUAAGUAACUAUGCACGUCUUGACGGUACCUAAUCAGAAAGCCACGGCUAACUACGUG